GUCUUUUUAGUAUAUUAAUAUAAAGUCUGACCUGCCCACUGAAUAAAGUUUGAAGGGCCGCAGUAUUUUGACUGUGCAAAGGUAGCAUAAUCAUUAGUCUUUUAAUUGAAGGCUGGUAUGAAUGGUUGGAUGAGAUACAAGCUGUGUCAUAAAAAUUAAAUUUUGAAUUUAACUUUUUAGUCAAAAGGCUAAAAUAUUCUUAAAAGACGAGAAGACCCUAUAGAGCUUUAUAUAAUAAAUAUUUAAAUUAUUAAGAUUUAUCAAAUUUAAUUUUUGUAUUAUAUUUUGUUGGGGUGACAAUAAAAUUUAUAAAACUUUUAUUUUUAUUUAACAUUAAUUUAUGGUUACAUGAUCCAGUUUUAUUGAUUAUAAAUUUAAGUUACCUUAGGGAUAACAGCGUAAUUUUUUUUGAGAGUUCUUAUCGACAAAAAAGAUUGCGACCUCGAUGUUGGAUUAAGAGUAAUUUUGGGUGUAGAAGUUCAAAGUUUAAGUCUGUUCGACUUUUAAAUUCUUACAU
RNAcentral lists this ribosomal RNA (517 nucleotides) under Simulium charlesi. RNAcentral describes it as "partial 16S ribosomal RNA". It matches the Rfam family "Bacterial large subunit ribosomal RNA", at positions 1819 to 2601 of the family's 2925-position model. The record is from RNAcentral. Lineage: Eukaryota; Metazoa; Arthropoda; Insecta; Diptera; Simuliidae.